UACGAAGGUGGCAAGCGUUAUUCGGAUUUACUGGGCGUACAGGGAGCGUAGGCGGUUUGGUAAGCCCUCUGUGAAAUCUCCAGGCUUAACCUGGAAAAGUCGGAGGGGACUGCUGGGCUAGAGGACGGGAGAGGAGCGCGGAAUUCCCGGUGUAGCGGUGAAAUGCGUAGAGAUCGGGAGGAAGGCCGGUGGCGAAGGCGGCGCUCUGGAACGUUUCUGACGCUGAGGCUCGAAAGCGUGGGGAGCAAACAGG
This 253-nucleotide ribosomal RNA is filed under the name uncultured Nitrospira sp. RNAcentral's name for it is "partial 16S ribosomal RNA". It matches the Rfam family "Bacterial small subunit ribosomal RNA", at positions 524 to 776 of the family's 1533-position model. The record is from RNAcentral. Lineage: Bacteria; Pseudomonadati; Nitrospirota; Nitrospiria; Nitrospirales; Nitrospiraceae.